GACGAACGCUGGCGGCGUGCUUAACACAUGCAAGUCGAACGGAAAGGCCCUGCUUGCAGGGUACUCGAGUGGCGAACGGGUGAGUAACACGUGGGUGAUCUGCCCUGCACUUCGGGAUAAGCCUGGGAAACUGGGUCUAAUACCGGAUAGGAGCCAUUUUUAGUGUGAUGGUUGGAAAGUUUUUUCGGUGUAGGAUGAGCUCGCGGCCUAUCAGCUUGUUGGUGGGGUAAUGGCCUACCAAGGCGGCGACGGGUAGCCGGCCUGAGAGGGUGGACGGCCACAUUGGGACUGAGAUACGGCCCAGACUCCUACGGGAGGCAGCAGUGGGGAAUAUUGCGCAAUGGGCGCAAGCCUGAUGCAGCGACGCCGCGUGGGGGAUGACGGCCUUCGGGUUGUAAACUCCUUUCGCUAGGGACGAAGCUUUUUGUGACGGUACCUAGAUAAGAAGCACCGGCUAACUACGUG
This 465-nucleotide ribosomal RNA is filed under the name uncultured bacterium. Its description in RNAcentral is "partial 16S ribosomal RNA". It matches the Rfam family "Bacterial small subunit ribosomal RNA", at positions 28 to 507 of the family's 1533-position model. The record is from RNAcentral.